GCAGAAACCAUCUGAAAUCCGCCCUUCUCUCUGUUUCUGAGUCUUUCUGAGAAGAUUACAGGAAGUGCAAUAGGAAGUGAAGUGAAGUUGCUCUGUAUAACAAACCCGCUCAGUCGCCUUCAACAGCACAAUCUAUGAACGAAAUCAUUAGAGCUCCGUGAAGACUGCCAGAGAGACACUGAUGGGUGCAGACCUGAUGUGAACACAGGAGAUUUCGUGUCUGAACAAGGAAGGAGUUCCUGCGAGCCACAUGUCAGCGUGGCUGGUGUGAACCAAUGUGUGUGACCUGAUUGUACAACCAUGGCAAGAGCUGCAGUGACUAAACUUCUCCUUCUGGUUUUCCUCGCCUUCAUCAUCUGCCUGCCAGAGUUAUUCAGGAUAUACUCAGUUUCAAAGGUGAAUUUCCACUGCCUUCCCCACCGACCUCAUGAACCGAUGCAUCAGGAACGGAAAGGGGGAAAUGUGCAGCCAGCAAACGGUAAAGCUGAAAGAAAGGCCAUCUGUAAUCCUACUCCAAGUCCAGAACUUGAACAGUUGAAGCAGAUCUGUGCACAAGAGGCUGAAGGAAACGCAGCUGAGUUACAUCCUGAAACGCAGAAAGUCCAAGGAGACUCAAUGUCAGACUUGUUCAUGUGUGAAACAGACAAGAACAUGGAGGAACUUCACAGCAACGUCUCAUCACCAGCUCUGGUGGUGCUUCUGGAGGUGUCAGUCGUCUUUCAAGUGGACGACACAGAGGCCGUGAAUCGUACUUUGUUUGGCUACAGCAGUCAGAGGUCCCUGUUCCUCCGACCACCUGAAGAGGAGGAAGACCCAACGGGUGACAAGGCAAACCAGGGACAGGCUUUCUACUGCUGUCUUCCUCUCAUUCAAUCAUCCAACUCGACCAAUCAAAGCCACUGCCUCCUUUGGCUUGCCAAUCAAACUGUUUUGACAGGAAAUAAAACAGAAAGGCUGUCAUGGAAACAGGCAGAUAAAGGUUGGUGUAAGGAUAAAGGGGAGUUUGUUUUUUUCUCAGUUCUCCAUGUGGAGUCAGUGCAGCUGAGAAGAGUCAAUAAGAGACAAAGAAACAAAUCUAUGUUUUCAUUUCACUCCAAACUGCCCUGUCUCUCAGUCCUCUCUGGACUCAUUUUUUAAAUAGGACAAAUUUCCUUCAAUUCUCCUUGUGUUGACUUGAAUCUCCUCUGUGUCUUUCCCCUCCCUUUGCACUGCUUGAUCUUUCCAAGACUACACUACAUCCUAAUCCUCUGGAUCUCUGGUAUUGAUUUUGGCUAUCCUUCCUUGUGUGCCGCUCUGCAGUGCUCCCCAUACUUAAAGCCUGAGCCAUGUCAUAUUUUCCAGAGUGGAAGAGGAAAAUUGGAUGUCGUUUAAGAUAGCAUUUUUUCCUUCUCCUUCCAUCAAGCUUUUCCAUAACCCCAACACGUUUCAUUUUCAUUUUUCAUUUCUGAUCUCUAUGUGUGAUUCUUUUCACUCCAUGCAUGUGUAUUAAGUAUGUUCUGUAAACGAACCAAUUAUCUAAAAGUCCCUGUUUGCCCUCCAGGAUGGUGCAGCUACAGGUGGACCUUUCUGGUUCUGCUGUGUAUGGUGUGCCUGAUUGUUGUUAUAACUGUGAUUGCAAAAAUCUAUCUGGGGACACGCUUAAACAGUAAGAGAGGAAAACACACUUUAGCACAUGAAUUGACUUUACAUUUUUGAUGAGAGCAGACAAAAUAAGAUAUGCUCUUCCACAGAUAAAACUAUUGUGCAUCAUAUUGAGUACCAGCCUCCCAAUCAGCAGCUAAAAGGUAAAGAAACCUACCUAAGUAUCUAGCUAGAUACUGCUACCUAAGUAGCUAGGUAGCUAGGUACUACAUUUAGAUACCACAAAAAAAAAAAUGCAGUGUCUAUUACAGUUUUUCUCAGUUGCUUUGGUGCAUUUUUCAGGAAACAGCUGUCAUUCUAUGCUAGCCAGCUAGACUAUCUCUCCCAGCUAGCUGGUCUGAUGUCUGGUAGACUAGCUAGCUAGACUAGCUAGCCAGUUAGCAAGUCUAGAAUGUGUUUUUGAUGAUCUCUAAGCAGUUUAAAAAAAUACUUAUACAUCUAGCAACAGUUUGUGGCUUUGUUUCUCAAACAAGUUGUUUUGUAAAAAGCAAACUUUCCAAAAUAUUAAUUUGUUUUAAUGUUGCUUUAUUGGACAGAGAGCAGUCAGUGUCAUAUGUUUACACCAAAGUGUUUUUCUAACAAAUAUAUUAUCCAGCAGAAACAGCGUCCCGUUUAAAUCGACAUCAGUCUUGGCCUGAAACAAGGUACCAUUUGAAUAGGCUUCAGUCUUGGACUGUUGUCUUUUUAUGUCAGGACUUUCGCCCAUUCUAGAAAUUGAAAGCAGAGAGAACAUUGAAACUUUGCUGAAUGGAAAUCCCCUUAGCUGCUUUACAGAAAACCCUUCAUCAUCGCUGCCAUCCUCCUACCUCCUCCCUCACAGAAGAACAGCCGUGCUGAUAGACACACAACAAAAGGAGCACUAAGGCAAGAAAACAAGAAAACUCCAUCACCUCAAGGCCUGCUCUGUAGACACACAAUGCAGCAUGCAAAGAUCAGCACCGUUUAUUAUUAAAACCUCCCCAGUGAAGUUUGAUGGA
Molecule: non-coding RNA, 2618 nt
Organism: Poecilia reticulata (guppy)
Lineage: Eukaryota; Metazoa; Chordata; Actinopteri; Cyprinodontiformes; Poeciliidae
Source: RefSeq, a predicted model, not a curated record